GAUCCUGGCUCAGGAUGAACGCUAGCUACAGGCUUAACACAUGCAAGUCGAGGGGAAACGAUAUUGGAAGCUUGCUUCCGAUAGGCGUCGACCGGCGCACGGGUGAGUAACGCGUAUCCAACCUGCCCAUCACUUGGGAAUAACCUUGCGAAAGUAAGACUAAUGCCCAAUGACAUUUAUAGAAGGCAUCUGAAAUGAAUUAAAGAUUUAUCGGUGAUGGAUGGGGAUGCGUCUGAUUAGCUUGUUGGCGGGGUAACGGCCCACCAAGGCGACGAUCAGUAGGGGUUCUGAGAGGAAGGUCCCCCACAUUGGAACUGAGACACGGUCCAAACUCCUACGGGAGGCAGCAGUGAGGAAUAUUGGUCAAUGGGCGAGAGCCUGAACCAGCCAAGUAGCGUGCAGGACGACGGCCCUAUGGGUUGUAAACUGCUUUUAUAAGGGAAUAAAGUGAGUCUCGUGAGACUUUUUGCAUGUACCUUAUGAAUAAGGACCGGCUAAUUCCGUG
Molecule: ribosomal RNA, 505 nt
Filed under: uncultured bacterium
Lineage: Bacteria
Description: bacterial SSU rRNA
Rfam family: Bacterial small subunit ribosomal RNA
Source: RNAcentral